This 253-nucleotide ribosomal RNA is filed under the name uncultured bacterium. RNAcentral describes it as "partial 16S ribosomal RNA". It matches the Rfam family "Bacterial small subunit ribosomal RNA", at positions 524 to 776 of the family's 1533-position model. The record is from RNAcentral.
UACGAAGGGGGCUCGCGUUGUUCGGAAUUACUGGGCGUAAAGCGCGUGUAGGCGGGCCGUUAAGUCGGGGGUGAAAGCCCAGAGCUCAACUCUGGAAUUGCCUUCGAUACUGGCGGCCUGGAGCAUGAUAGAGGCGAGUGGAAUUGCGAGUGUAGAGGUGAAAUUCGUAGAGAUUCGCUGGAACACCAGUGGCGAAGGCGACUCGCUGGAUCAUUGCUGACGCUGAGACGCGAAAGCGUGGGGAGCAAACAGG